GGUUGGUUUAUGGAUUCUUAUUUUAUAAGUAUAUAAAGUGUCUCACUUGUUUAUUCUCGCAAACACAUACUAAAACAUGACAUCAUGUGCACUCCAAAAUAGAGUAUUAAUUUUUACUGACCCUAUUUCUUUGAAAUUCCCGUGAGAUGGUGCUCAAGAAUUUUUUUGAUACUACUUUUCCUCUUUUCCUUCAUAUCGGAUAUCUCAAUUCUCAUCAGAACAUUUUUGCUGGUGGUGUUUGUCUUUCACGACUUUGGCAUUGAUAGCUCUCACGGUGAAGUUGUUUCUCGUGUUUUAUUCCUUCUUUACAUAGUCCUUUGUUAAUUGAGCAGGGGAGAUGACAAAGCCAUACUUAUCGACUAGGAGGCUAUGUGUAAUGUGUGUAUAUUAUCUCCAUCGAUCUAAAGGACCUAUAAAUUCAUUAGUCCUAUAUCUCUAAAUGGAGAUAUCUAUGAUGAGUGAGGACAUAUUUUGGCAAUAAUCUUUGUGCCAAGAACAACAUAAGUUUCUUUCAUGGCCUUUUUUCGAAUUUGACCAAUUGUCAUCCAUGUAUGGGGUAACAUUACUGCUUAUUUCUUAAAUUUGUAAUACUCUUGGCUAGUGUCGUCUCGGACACUUUCAAGGCUCGGAGCGAACUAAAAUUAAGCCCUUAAACAAGGGGGACAUAUUUCAUACAAUUCAUUAAUAUUUCAUUAUUUUUUAUUUCAACCAUAAAAAUACAAUCCAAAGAGGGAAAGAUAAAAAUGAUGAGAGAAAGGGAAUAGAGUAAGAUAAAAUUGUUGGAAUAGUUGGUUAAAUUAAGAAGAAUACUAUAUAAGAAAAAAAAAUUAUUCACAUUAAUUGAAGAACUUUUAAGAGUCAUAGCUAUGAGAAUUAGGAGCGUAAUAGUUGGGAACCAAAUGAAUUAAGAGAAAAAGGUUAAAGAUAGAAAAGUUUACUUAGAAGAAAAAACGAUCACAAAUUUCUUUUAAAGAAUUUAUUUUAAAAUAAAUCUGUUGAAGAUUUAGGGCCCUUAAUAAGGGGACACUAAGAAGUCACUAAAGGUGCUCCCCUUAUUAGUCAGUGCCACCAUUUCCAUUUUCAUCCGUUCAUCUAUAAUUUUUGCUAUACAUGUUCAACUUAUGUGGGGUGUGAGAGAGUGUAUACUCCAGUCCCCAUUCCCAUUAUUAUUUUUUUAAAUCAAAAAUUAAAAAUAUUUUAUUUUUUAAAAACAUAUCACUUUCUCCCUCCUUCCUUUCCCAAUACACAUCAGUAUCAUGCUACAAAUUUUUUUUAAUUGCCCAGUAUCCUUCACGGCUUCACGUAAUCACGUUCAGAUGUUGGAGUCCGUCGGACUCGGCCAUCGGGACACAUGCCGACCACGCGACCAGCCGACCACGCGACCAGCCGACCACGGACCACUGCGCUGCACGCCAGCACCGCUCCUCCGACCUCCGCGGCUCCGCGGCAGCCAUGAGCCAUCAGGAUACUCAUUCUAAGAAGAUACAUCUUCGUUUUACGAAGAUUAUUUCCUAAGCUACUCCAAAGUGAAGUGUGCUUGGCUGGAGUAGUCCAGGGCUGGGUGACCUUGCGAGAAGAUUCUUGGUGUGUGCGUGAGUAAGGAGAAAAUGUGGCGAAAGAAUUUGUAUUGGUUAUUAAGGACAUUUAUUGACCUUGGAUGCGCAUUGGUGAUGAUAGACUCGACUUCUUAUGGAUCAAGUGUUACAGAUGGUAUCCAAGCAAUCUUGCGAUCGUGUGAUAAUCAUGUAGAUAAUUAUGCAGGGUUAGUACGUAGUGGGGAAGAUUAUUGAGUUAUAUCACUACUUGUGGUCGAAUAUGUGAUUAGUAUCCAGGCUUGGGCGACCUAAGGUCGUUGUGGCCAAAUAUGUGGUUGUUGUAGUCGUUGGAGCAUUGUUGUCAUCAAGUAGGGUUGUAUGUAAUACCCGUCAUGAUUGCUUUAAAGAAGUUUUGCAUGCUACUCAUUCUAACAAGA
This is a long non-coding RNA of Beta vulgaris subsp. vulgaris (sugar beet), 1972 nucleotides long. RefSeq lists it as uncharacterized. Lineage: Eukaryota; Viridiplantae; Streptophyta; Magnoliopsida; Caryophyllales; Amaranthaceae. The transcript is spliced from 2 exons. The record is from RefSeq and is a predicted model, not a curated record.